GUAGCUGACGGUACCAUAUGAAUAAGCCUCGGCUAACUCCGUGCCAGCAGCCGCGGUAAUACGGAGGAGGCAAGCGUUAUCCGGAUUUAUUGGGCGUAAAGCGUUCGCAGGUGGUUUUUCAAGUCUGCUGUUAAAGACAGUGGCUCAACUACUGAAAGGCAGUAGAUACUGAAGAACUAGAGUGCGGUAGGGGCAGAGGGAAUKCCCGGUGUAGCGGUGAAAUGCGUAGAUUUCGGGAAGAWCAUCGGUGGCGAAAGCGCUCUGCUGGGCCGCAACUGACACUCAGGGACSAAAGCUAGGGGAGCGAAUGGGAUUAGAUACCCCAGUAGUCCUAGCCGUAAACGAUGGAUACUAGGUGUWGCCUGUAUCGACCCAGGCAGUGCCGUAGCUAACGCGUUAAGUAUCCCGCCUGGGGAGUACGCACGCAAGUGUGAAACUCRAAUGAA
Molecule: ribosomal RNA, 446 nt
Filed under: uncultured cyanobacterium
Lineage: Bacteria; Bacillati; Cyanobacteriota
Description: bacterial SSU rRNA
Rfam family: Bacterial small subunit ribosomal RNA
Source: RNAcentral